This is a non-coding RNA of Nelumbo nucifera (sacred lotus), 2875 nucleotides long. The record is from RefSeq and is a predicted model, not a curated record. NCBI's taxonomy places the organism in Eukaryota, Viridiplantae, Streptophyta, Magnoliopsida, Proteales, Nelumbonaceae.
UCAAAUCACUCCUGGAAGGGGCAUAUGGGGUUCAUCAAUUAAUUGUUGGUUGAUGAUGUAUUUGGUUCAAGUAAGAAGUUUUUUCUUUCUUUUUUUCCUUAUUUUCUUAUCUUUCUAUUUCUAUGGAGGACAAUGACGAUAGCUUCAUGGUUCGCUCGUCGUGCAUAAUGGCAGUAUUGCCUUGACGACACCACAUCAUAUUUCUGAGUCCUCUCUCUUGAACAAAUUCCUUCUCUCCCUCAACUUUCUGUUGAUCUCCUAUUUUCUACCAAAUCAAAUACAGUCUUAUCGCUCAUUUUUUUCUUUUAUUUCAAAAGAAAAGGAUUCUGCUAUCAUAUUUUCUUCAAAAAAGUGGAUUGAGGAACUACUGAUUUAUGUCCAAGUCCACAUAAAGUUAAUGAUCCACUAACGAGAUUAAGGUUAGAAAUUAAAAAGAAAAAUCAUUUUUUUGAUUUGAAAUUACCGGUGAUGAUCGUUAAUGAUAACAGUUUCUCUCUCUCUGCCCAUCUAUCUUUCUUUAAUCUUCUUAUGAUUUUCAGCUUCUUUGUAGCUAAAGCCUAAAAGACCCCUCACCGUGAACAUUCAUUGAUCCAAUAUAGUGCCUCUUAUGGAUGGAUUGCCUUUUUCAUUCCCAAACCCAUCACCUUUGAUCUCAAACCCAUUUGUUUUUCCUCCAAAUUUCCGAAACCCAUUAAACCCAUCACACAAGUGAACUGUUAUGUCCUUAAUAAAAAAAUGGCUUGGCAAGCAAGUGGUGUAGAUGUCUAUAAUGGGAAGGAGAAAGAAUUAAUUAGGGAUGAUAAUUUUUCUCAUAAAAUCAGGGCUCCGCCCUACUCUGAACAGUGUGGGGAAAAUAUUUUUGCCCUGAACACAGGAAGGGAUUGGGUUUGCAUAUAAUUCCUUAAAGCCAAUGAUACAUUUAUAAAAUAUCUCUAAAUUUAAUAUUAAUUUUUAAAAUAUCUUUAAGUUUAUCCUAAAUUCUUAUCCCAUAAUUCCAUUUCUAACGUACCCUAAAUUAUCAUAAUUCAAUUUAUAAAAUAUUCAUAAAUUCUUAUAAUCCUAUUUAUAAAAUACUCAUCUUUUUAAAUAGUUGACUUGGAGUGAAAAAAAUUCAAGAAUUCCUUGCCCCCAAAGUGGGGCAAAGCAUCUUGACUAUGGACAGGGACAGGGAAGGGUAUACCACCCCGAACCUGCCCUAUUGCCCAUUCCUAGAUUUAACUCCUCUCUUAAUCCUUUUCUACUUUAUAAAACAUGUAAAAUAUAUAUUUACUAGGGUUUGACUAUAAUAUCAUAAAAACUUAUUAUGAACCACAAAACUGGUAAGGAAUUAAAUGCUUUUUAAAAUUUCAUAGGGCAUUUUGAUAGAUAUCGGGUAUCCUAAGGACAAAGUUCAAACAAGUUCCAAACUCUAAAAAACUCCCAUAAAAUUGCCAUACCUUCCCUUAUAGUUGCAAGAACAGUUUCUCACUCGGAAUAAUCUCUCAUCGUUCAUCCCUUGAGAAUGACACCGGAGAAACCAAUUUUUUUAUUUGACUGUAAGAUUACAGUCCCCACGAACUCGAGACAAAAUCAUACACACCCGGCUGAACUACUUAUGUUAUGUUGAAUAUGCCAGUGGAUUCCAUCUGGGACUCAGCUAUACUGGAUACUGGCGUGUUCAACCGUGAUAGAUAGUUUAGCCGGGUGUAUAUGUUUUUGUAUUCAGCUAAUCCGCUCUCGUAAGAUCACCCUAAGGCAUACGUCCAUUGUCCACCCUUCACACAAACAUUUCCUUCGUUCUUAUCCUUCAUAAACCUUGGGGCUUUUUAACAGGAAAAAAAGAAAAAUAACAUACAAGUUGCUUUUCAUCACCUUUGUUUGUAAAAAAUUCCAGUUUAUUCUUAGAAAUCUUAGCUCCAUGAGGCAAUUGGGGUAGGUGUCAGAUCGGAAUUGAUGCCGAUUCAAAAGCAGUUCAGACCAAGUUCAGGGCAUUCCAGCCAUUUUAAUGGAGCUUUCACCACUACUGCUUGUAAAACAAUAAAAGGAAAAAAGGAAGUUCUCAGUAAUUUUUCACGGAACAGUAACAGAAAAGAGUAAAAAUACAGGAACGAAUUCAUUCUGUUCUUUGAUUUUUUUUUCACGAACCUGUGUUUCUUCUAUCAUCGCCACGAGAUAACCCCUUUCCGGCUUCUGCAGAUUUUUCAAGAAUUCCAAGUAAAAAUAAAAAUAAUAACCGAACUCCCGUCGAUAGCCAUUUGUUUUGUUUGAAGUCUACUAGCCUUCUUAGAUUUGUAAAAAUACCUUGGCUUCAUAUAAUAAUAAUAAUAAUUAGAAGAAGAAGAAGAGAAAUAACAAAACUGCGAUUAAGCGUUACUGUUAAAGUAGUCGUAUCUCUUCUUCUUCCUCUUAUUCAGUGACAGCAUCACUUCAAUCCGUCCUUCAUACAUGCAACCACACCCGUCAAACCUCACAAGCUCCACUGCAUAUCGUACCGGGGUUGAGGACCCUAUAGCCAACGGAAUUCGUGCUCUGCCCAUUAUCAUCUCAUCGUUGGAACUUCCAACAUCGCCGAGAAAACCGACCCUAAGGACCUCCAAUUUCAAGGAAGAAGAGGCAAUGGGUUUGUUGAUGCGAAUGCUGAAUGUUCGGCUCCAGCAAGGGUCUAGGUUGCCAACGACGUUAGGAGUAUUCCUGCAUCUCCUGUUGGGUAUUGGCGUGAGCUGUAAAACUAGGGGAUAUCCUUUGAAUUCAGGGAUAAAUCUCAUCCUAAGUUGUAUGUAACUAGGAGAGGUAGAACCAGAAUCUAUGUAUAAUUAGGAGAUGUUUGUAUUAUGAGUAUAUAUAUUUCUCAACUCCUGCAAAGGACGAAAUAAGAAGAACAGAGGAAGAGUUUAUC